Long non-coding RNA from Oncorhynchus keta (chum salmon), 586 nucleotides. RefSeq lists it as uncharacterized. The record is from RefSeq and is a predicted model, not a curated record. The transcript has 3 exons. Lineage: Eukaryota; Metazoa; Chordata; Actinopteri; Salmoniformes; Salmonidae.
UGUCCAUUACCACUUACUCCAUCUACUCCCACAGUAAGGUAUGGUGUCCAUAAACACUUACUCCAUCUACGCACACAGUAAGGGAUGGUGUCCAUUACCACUUACUCCAUCUACUCCCACAGUAAGGUAUGGUGUCCAUUACCACUUACUCCAUCUACUCCCACAGUAAGGUAUGGUGUCCAUUAACACUUACUCCAUCUACUCCCACAGUAAGGUAUGGUGUCCAUAAAGACUUACUCCAUCUACUCCCACAGUAAGGUAUGGUGUCCAUAAACUCUUACUCCAUUACUCACACAGUAAAGUAUGGUGUCCAUUACCACUUACUCCAUCUACUCUCACAGUAAGGUAUGGUGUCCAUUAACACUUACUCCAUCUACUCUCACAGUAAGGUAUGGUGUCCAUUAACACUUACUCCAUCUACUCCCACAGUAAGGUAUGGUGUCCAUAAAGACUUACUCCAUCUACUCCCACAGUCAGGGAUGGUGUCCAUUACCACUUACUCCAUCUACUCCCACAGUAAGGUAUGGUGUCCAUUAACACUUACUCCAUCUACUCCCACAGUAAGGUAUGGUGUCCAUAAAGACUU